Molecule: long non-coding RNA, 740 nt
Organism: Prinia subflava (tawny-flanked prinia)
Lineage: Eukaryota; Metazoa; Chordata; Aves; Passeriformes; Cisticolidae
Exons: 3
Source: RefSeq, a predicted model, not a curated record
GAUCAAUAAAUAAAACUUUAUUGACGAGAGAGGGGCGGGGCCAGCUCGGCUCCGCCCACUUCCCAGGGCCUCAGUCUGGGGGGAAUUCACAGCAUUUUGGUUUAAAAAAACCCAAACUGGCCCAGGGGUUACUUGGAGCGCCCGGACAGCCGUGAGCAAACACGGACAGCUGUGCACAGGUGUGUCUGCAGCUGUAGCCAGAUGUGCACAGCCCUGUCCAGGUGUGUCUGCAGCCACAGCUGGGUGUGCACAGUCCUGUCCAGGUACGUCCAGGUGUGCACAGGUGUGUCUGCAGCCAUGUCCAGGUGUGCACAGCUGUGUCCAGGUGUGCACAGGUGUGUCUGCAGCCAUGUCCAGGUGUGCACAGCCCUGUCCAGGUGUGUCUGCAGCUGUAGCCAGAUGUGCACAGCCCUGUCCAGGUGUUUCUGCAGCCAGAGCUGGGUGUGCACAGUCCUGUCCAGGUACGUCCAGGUGUGCACAGGUGUGUCUGCAGCCAUGUCCAGGUGUGCACAGUCCUGUCCAGGUGUGCACAGGUGUGUCUGCAGCCCUGUCCAGGUGUGCACAGGUGUGUCUGCAGCCAUGUCCAGGUGUGCACAGUCCUGUCCAGGUGUGCACAGGUGUGUCUGCAGCCAUGUCCAGGUGUGCACAGCCCUGUCCAGGUGUGCACAGGUGUGUCUGCAGCCAUGUCCAGGUGUGCCUGGGAGCUCCCAGGUGUGUCAACAGCCACGUCCGAGUGUGCA